RNAcentral lists this ribosomal RNA (309 nucleotides) under uncultured eukaryote. Its description in RNAcentral is "partial 18S ribosomal RNA". It matches the Rfam family "Eukaryotic small subunit ribosomal RNA", at positions 1470 to 1796 of the family's 1831-position model. The record is from RNAcentral.
CCCUUAGAUGUUCUGGGCCGCACGCGCGCUACACUGACGAAGUCAGCGAGCAUGUCCUACGCCGACAGGUGCGGGGAAUCUUGUCAAACUUCGUCGUGAUGGGGAUUGAUUAUUGAAAUUCUUGAUCAUCAACGAGGAAUUCCUAGUAAGCGCAAGUCAGCAGCUUGCGUUGAUUACGUCCCUGCCCUUUGUACACACCGCCCGUCGCUACUACCGAUUGAAUGGUUUAGUGAGGCCUUCGGAUCCGCGACUCGUUUUGUGGAGAAGUUGGACAAACUCAGUCAUUUAGAGGAAGUAAAAGUCGUAACA